UAGGAGAUAAUAUAAAGGAAGUAUGAAGGGCUUUGAUCCCUUUUGUGUAGGUUCGAUCCCUACUCCCCUAA
RNAcentral lists this transfer RNA (71 nucleotides) under Lanius excubitor (northern shrike). RNAcentral's name for it is "tRNA-Gln". It matches the Rfam family "tRNA". From Rfam's summary of the family: Transfer RNA (tRNA) molecules are approximately 80 nucleotides in length. Their secondary structure includes four short double-helical elements and three loops (D, anti-codon, and T loops). The record is from RNAcentral. Lineage: Eukaryota; Metazoa; Chordata; Aves; Passeriformes; Laniidae.